AUUGGCUCUCAAAAACUGGUUUCGAAGAAGGAAGUAUCCCUUCAUUAUUUUGCUUCCAACAUGGAAUCGGAGAAGGAGGAAAAGGAAAAGAGAGGGGCAUUAGUAAUUUUACCUAAACACACGUACUGGUUUGACUUUUGGGUGUUUAUCGUUUUUGACAUCGCCUUUUUCCUCGUAAUGUAUUUUGUAGUGCCCUAAACAUUAUUCCCGCUUCUUGCUGCUGUUCUAAACCUACAGUAAGCCAGCACUCUUAUCCCAAUUAAUAGCCUAUUUGAGCCAGAUGACUGCAUGCGAGUUAUACGACGAUGAAUCGAGGGGAACGCCUGGUUUGUGUGGGAUAGUUUGAUUAAGUCACGACGUCUUCCCUGGAGUUUGCUUUAACCAACUGCCCCCAGCUGACUUCAUUGUGUGCGGUUAUUUUCACGCCGAAUGUGCCUAUAAUGCUGAAGUGCAUCGUGUAAUGGAAUGAAGUAUUUUGACAUGGAGCAAGGUCUCCAAUACAAAAUCAUUAAUAUUUAUUUAGCUAUGCAAAAAAUUAAGUGUUCUGAUUCAUGAAAUGGGUUAAAAUAAAUACGGUUUUCUAAACUGGCA
Molecule: long non-coding RNA, 591 nt
Organism: Conger conger (European conger)
Lineage: Eukaryota; Metazoa; Chordata; Actinopteri; Anguilliformes; Congridae
Exons: 3
Source: RefSeq, a predicted model, not a curated record